UGUGCUGUUGCUAUAAAAGCGUGCAAAAAUGCUGGAAGGAAAAGACGAAUAAAAACAGCGGCAGCAGUGGCAGCACAUCGACUCUUGUGAACCUGAGAUGUCGCUCUCUUUCCCCAUGGGUUACUAUAAAGUUGAACAAAGGUGCAAAUGGAUCAAUAACAAUGUGAAGCUUCAACCUUGCACAGGAUCCAUGAGAGGAGAAGGCCUCAGCUGACUCGCCCUAAAGGAGUGCCAUUACCUAAACACCAUGCGGCCGAGAUGCCUUGUCUGGAGAUUGGAUUGCUGAUCCUUAUGUCACCAGGAGCAGAGACCAGCACAGCAUUUCUUAGGAGGCGGUUAAGCGGAGUAAUGCACGCUUGGUCCUACAACUGAUCACCACACACCAGCCCAAUGAAACAUGGCUGACCUCCCGACUGUGAAGGCCUGAUGAUGCUUCACAAGAAGAAAUCAGUGCUCUUUCAAGAAAUCUUUCAUGCAAUCAGAAGGAUGGGAGUUCGAGCCCAGCACUGUGCAGUCGAUGUAUCUUUGGGCAAGAUGCUUAACCCAGAGUCGGUCCCGAUGGCUAACGUUGUGUGAAAGUGUUGUAUGAUUGUAAGCUUACUUGAGCAAAGCAAUUAAUAGGUGACUUGUAGUAUUUAAAGUGCUUUGAGGGGUCAUAAAGUCUGGAUUAAGCUCUAUAUAAGUACAUUCCAUUUCAUGUGUCACUUUUAAUAAUAAACUCUUUUUGUGUAUAA
Long non-coding RNA from Eleginops maclovinus (Patagonian blennie), 734 nucleotides. RefSeq lists it as uncharacterized. Lineage: Eukaryota; Metazoa; Chordata; Actinopteri; Perciformes; Eleginopidae. The transcript has 5 exons. The record is from RefSeq and is a predicted model, not a curated record.